Long non-coding RNA from Scophthalmus maximus (turbot), 2378 nucleotides. RefSeq lists it as uncharacterized. The record is from RefSeq and is a predicted model, not a curated record. NCBI's taxonomy places the organism in Eukaryota, Metazoa, Chordata, Actinopteri, Pleuronectiformes, Scophthalmidae. The transcript has 4 exons.
CCUCCUCCUCCUCCUCCUCCUCCUCCUCCUCUUCCUCCUCCUCUGGCCAAUUAGCAUGUCAACAGACUCCGGCGUCGCCGCUGUGAGGAAGAAGAGGACACGCAGACGCAGCUGCGGUCCAACUUUUUCUCCCUCUGAUUAAAUGAAUCCCUGUGAAAAAAAUCUUCCCCCCCCCCCGCUUCUUUUUUCUUCCUUUUUUUUUUUUUUUUUUUUACACAUUUGGCUGCUGAAUCAUCUUCGCGGGAGUGUAUAUUCGACGAUCGCAAGGGGAUCUGCCACAUAACUCUUAAGUGUUCAUGGAAAUGCAAAGAGAAGAUGGUAAAAAGAAAAGAAAAAAACAGCCUGCGCCACAAAUAUUCAUCCUAACAACUCACAGAAAAUUUCAGUGAUUUAACAUACGGGCCCCCAAGCCACGGAGACCAGAGUUGGGCCCCACGUCCUGAGAAAGAAGGGUGUCAGAGCAAAGACCGCUGAAACCUGAUCGGUGACAUCUUUUGCCCUGGUGCUCGCACACGAAGCCCCGAGUCGUCGGCUGAUGUGAACGGGUUGGGUUCAGUCACAGUAACCUUGAUGAGGACGUGAACAAACAUCAAACACUGACAUCAGCUGUUUGUGAGUGCCGCCGGACCAUAACUGCUCACAGCUUCCAAUAGCGUUCGAAGAGGAAGAGAUCAAAGGUCAUGGAUGACUGGGGGAAGAGCCAGGGGGUCAUUCACAUCUGACACCAGAGACCUUUGAGAUCCAAGUUCCAUGCUUGAGUCACCAUAUCUGUAUAAUACAAUAUAAUACAAGAAAAUCGGAAUAUUUUGUACGUUUUUCCUUUCUUUUUUUUCGGUGAAGAAUUGAUUUUCCUCAAACUUGAAUGAAAGUCUCUGCUGCUGACUUACACUUGCAAAUGACCGCUCCUUAGCGAAGUAGCAGGAAGUGACAUGCCUAAUGAGCAAAUUGCCAAAACCAACCUCUUUUACGAGCCAGAUGAGGACCAAUUAAGGAAGUCCAUCAAUGACAGAACUGCUGAGCAGGCCCAAGACUUUAAAGCUUUGAUGAGGAGGAUGCUGGGAUGGGUUUGUCAGGACAAGUUUCCUUUGGAAGUGAGGACAAUCAUUAACAUAAUCAAGGUUCCGAGGCAACUGGAGGAAUUGUCUCACUAGACGCCAGCAGCAGUGGGCCCUGAAAUAUGCUCACUGUCUUCAAAGCUGCGUGUCCUCAGUCCUGGCAGUUUGUAUCUCUCACACACAAACCCCAGCUGAGAACAGAGACUCGGAUUUGGCCCAUAAUUGAAAUUACAUUCUAUUAAGUAGCACCAGGCUACUUCCUAGUGUAGCCAACAGCUUUUUUCAUAUAUCUAUGGGAGGGUCCCUUAAAAGUAUGCAAACCAAAAGUUGUUGCUGAUGUUCCUCUCCUGAUGCGAAGAUUGAUUUGAAUCCUGUGUGUGUGUGUGUGUGUGGGUUAAUGCACAGAGCUAGAGUCAGCUGUUCCUUAGCUUAGCACAAGACUGGAAGCAGGGGGCAAAGCGAACACGAUGUAAGCCUCGAAGCCGUCUCUCGUCGUCAGCAUUCACUGACAUAACUCAACGUUCCUGUGAAUACUGAAUUCCGGCGACGAUGAUGGGCCUAUAUUAGGGUAUUAAAUAAGGGCUGUUACCUCUGUAAUCCAGAUAAUGUCUACUGAGCAAUGGUUUUAAAUAACCUCUCACAUCUGGGUCAUGCUCAGUUCAAAUCAGAUCCCUCUCCUUCCUGUUCAAAUCCAACCAAACUACCCAGAGGUGCUGGCUUUGCACACACAAACCCACACGCGCACACACACAGGGAUUUGUGAAACUCUUUAUAUCAUGUUUCCCCUUUUAUUGCCUUUCAAAGACAUGCGUGUAAAAGUUAUUUAUUUAUCCCAGACACAUAGGUGUCAGAGCACUACAGCACAGACUCCUGUUUAGGACAAAGUCUUCAGGAAGCUGCCAAUGGGUCUAAACCAUAGCAAGACACAUUAGAGCAUGAGUCAGUGUGUUAACUUAAAGCAGCAGAUGCAUUAUGAACGACACAGAUGAGAGUGUGGGAUCCGUUGCCUCACUGCAGCACUAUGUUUCUAAGAAGUGACGGCAUAGGUAUCUGACGUGAUUUGUUUAUUUGGGGAUUAGAUGUCCUCGGAGUUCUCUCUAAAACAUCUGGAUUAAAAAUGGAUGUGCGUCACACAUGAAGAUUGGAAGUUUUCACUGUUGUCAGUAAAGUAAGGUCUUAGCCCCUGCUGUCAUUCGAAGGCAGAGUGGAGGAGCUUUAUGACAUUGUGCCAUUCCUCAGAUUCUGUAGUCUGGUGUUCAGAUGUGUGAAAUCUUCAAGGCAAGGAAUAGGGACUCAUUUGAAUGCGUGAAAGAAAUACUUUAU